CUGAGCACAAAGGGAUUCGUCUGAACCAUGCGAACGGUUCCACAAUCACUGGGAGGUAAAAUAGCACUUAACUGUUCCCCUGGGUGGUCUGAUGUUCGGUAUUUUGGGUUGUAUGUUAUAGUAGCAAUAUUCACACGAACACCAGCCAUUCAGUUCUGUUUAACCCCUCCAGCAGCAUUGUUGAUUAAGUUCAGGCAAAAAUAUAGGCAUAAUUAUAGUUCUGUUACACUCUUCACUAACAAUCACUUUUGAUCUCAAAAAAGUAUUAGCAUAGUAUGUAACAAGGAAUGCAUAGCUAUCACAUUAACAUAUACUAAACAAGAAGAAUUGUGUACCGAUUGCCUUUCAGACAAACGUAAACAUUUAGAAGAUGUAAAUGUAUGCCUUUUUCA
Molecule: non-coding RNA, 392 nt
Organism: Pelobates cultripes (western spadefoot toad)
Lineage: Eukaryota; Metazoa; Chordata; Amphibia; Anura; Pelobatidae
Source: the annotation of a GenBank genome assembly